Long non-coding RNA from Setaria italica (foxtail millet), 1544 nucleotides. RefSeq lists it as uncharacterized. The transcript is spliced from 4 exons. NCBI's taxonomy places the organism in Eukaryota, Viridiplantae, Streptophyta, Magnoliopsida, Poales, Poaceae. The record is from RefSeq and is a predicted model, not a curated record.
UGCAUUUAUUUAGAAUCCAGAAAACUAAACAUACAUCACUAUUUUCAAUCACAACUAGUAUUAGUUAUUAGAGGCAAUAUAGACAUUUCUCACCACUAUAUUGUGUCUGAAAUUUUCUAAAAGUACACUCUUUGCGGGAUGGAGGGAGUACGCUCUUUUUUCUAGUCCUUUCUCCCCUUGAAAAAUGAAACCCGCUAACUUCUUGUGCACAUUGCUGUUCUUCCUGAGAGCUUUGUUAUCUCUACACAUGCACUGCUGUUAUCUCCCAGAACAUCACAAUCACUAAAUGAUAACUGAAUGCUAUCAAUAGCCAACCAGUCUUUCUCACUUCUUCAGACUGAUAGGAUUGAGCACACAGGCUUUGCAUCUGUAUAAGCAUGCAGAAACAGAGCCCUAAAUGCAACGUUUCAAUCCACAUACACUACUAUAUACGCAGUAGUUAUUGCCUCUCGCCUAGCAAAAUGGCAACAAUCAAUUGUUCACCAGCAGACAGCGUACAUUCUACGACCACAACCACAGCCCAAUUUGCACACAUGAAUACAACACGGAAGAUGGUCCAGGCCCAACAUCAUCUUAAAAAGAGGCUACGUACGCUAGCACAGAAACGGGGGCAAAUAUUUACUACAAACGCUAGCCCAAUAAAUGGAUUGCAUGCUGCGUACUCCGUCUAGCAGGUACGUGUUUGCUCUCCGGCCAAAUUUCAUCUUUCCAUAACUCCUUUGUGUUCUACAAAAGAGAUGUUCAGUUCAGGUGAUUCCGCCGAAACUAUUUCGAUAUGCAUACAUCUCACAACAUUACGGGCUUUCAGUUCAAGCAUGGCAUCGGAAUGAGCUGAUGAUAUUCCUCUUGAUUCCUCUUCUUGUGAAGUAGUAGGAGAGGAAGUAUCAUCCAUGCCAUGGUGUUACCACCACGCCAGUAAACUCUAGCUGCGGGAUCUGAACAGCAGACGAUGGUCUGAUGGAUAACAAGAAGAGGCUGCAGGCAGCAGGUAGACAGGGCAAGAGCUACCACCAUGAACCCGUGUCUGGUGGUGCCUCUAUGGCCGCCGAAAUAUUAGCAGCUCCAUUAAUCCUCCACGUGUACUACACGCCAAGGCCCCUUAACCCAUGCACGUUGCUGUGUCGUAUAGUCUAUAGUGUCAAUUCGGCGAGCUGAUGGCAAUGUUGCCGCUGGAUCCCCGUCGGUUGGUCGAAGCAUCAGGGGCCUGUUGGAGACUCAACAUUGAACAGCCGACACUACUGUUCGAUCUUCAGCUGCCCAGUGCCCAGGCAGGAUCCAGGAUCCACAGCACAACGGCUGGUAUGGUACUUGGUAGGUCUGGACUCUGGACAUUGGUGGGCAGGUGUCAAAUCAAGUUAUCUUUUUAAUCAACUGUUGAUGAUCAUCCUUCAUCCACAAGGGGAAGUGGUCUCGUCCACGCCAGCAAAAUGAUUCUGCCUCUAUUCUUUUUUUUCCCCCCCAAAAGGAACUACCUAUAUUCUUUUUGAUUCGUUGUUUUUGGACUCGAAAUAAAGGGCCAUCGACCAUUAUUUCAAAUCGUUCUU